GACUUCAUGAGCCUGAGCCAGCGACCCAGGGCAAUCCGGAUCAGAUACGAGCACAAGCCUAAUAAAGGAGUAGGUCCAAUCACUCACCAACUCUGUUCGCAUGCGUGCCAUGGUAAAUUAAAUGGCAGCCUGCGUGGAGAAGGGGCUUGACACGUCCGUACGCAUGAGCCUGAAGGACACAGACAAGUAACACUAUAGACGUGAGGGGGGACAGGAAAAAGAUGGAUCUCUCCUCUCUCCUCUGGUUUUGGCUUCUUCUUCUUCUUCUUUUUGAGG
This 276-nucleotide long non-coding RNA is filed under the name Manihot esculenta (cassava). Its description in RNAcentral is "long non-coding RNA (MESC_LNC003079)". The record is from RNAcentral. Lineage: Eukaryota; Viridiplantae; Streptophyta; Magnoliopsida; Malpighiales; Euphorbiaceae.